AUGCCGAGGGGCCGCGCCUCGCUGAUCCGUCGGCGUAUCGCAGCCUCGCUGGGGCCCUAUAGUACCUCACCAUCACCAGGCCGGAGCUCGCGUCGGGACUGUCACCACGCCCUCAUCAAAUGCGUGUUGCGGUAUGUGCGUGGUGCGCCGUCCCAUGGCUUGCAUCUUCGCGCCUCUCCAUCGCUGGACCUGCGGGCAUUCACUGACGCCGACUGGGCCGACUGCCCCGACAUGCGCCAGUCGACGUCUAGCUUCUGCAUCUACCUCGGCGACGCGCUCAUCUCCUGGUCGUCCAAAUGCCAGGCUACGGUGUCACGGUCCAGUGCCGAAGCUGAGUACCGCGGCAUCGCCAAUGCAGUUGCCGAGUGCGUGUGGUUCCGACAACUCCUUGGCGAGCUCCUGCUCCCUCUUCGAUCGGCGACCAUGGUCUUCUGCGACAACGUCUCAGCCUGA
RNAcentral lists this ribosomal RNA (453 nucleotides) under Triticum aestivum (bread wheat). RNAcentral's name for it is "partial small subunit ribosomal RNA". Lineage: Eukaryota; Viridiplantae; Streptophyta; Magnoliopsida; Poales; Poaceae. The record is from RNAcentral.